Molecule: RNA transcript, 2350 nt
Organism: Daphnia magna
Lineage: Eukaryota; Metazoa; Arthropoda; Branchiopoda; Diplostraca; Daphniidae
Exons: 9
Source: RefSeq, a predicted model, not a curated record
UUUUGUGACGUAGUGGCAAACUUGUGUGUUCCUAAGCCUGCUUUCGAUUUCAAAUUUCGUGAUUUUUCUAAGUACCUAAUUCGACGAUUUUUCAGGAUAAUAUAGCGUUUUAUAUUGAAGAUGGCAUCCUCUGGUGACAGUGAUGAACCACAAGAUGAUUCGUUUUCAUCUGACGAAGAAACAUUUCAGGUUGGAAGAAUUCAGCAAUUCUGGAAGGGAACGUACAAUAAAAUUUUGCCUGAAGUUGGUAGUCAUCCACUUGGAGGUAACUCAUCGAGCGAAGUGAAGUUUUUCAUUGUUACCACACUGGAAUGUGGAGAAGACCGCAUACAGCGACAAGUGCACAGUAUUAUCCCAACUGGAUGGAUUUCGAGCAACAUGGAAUAUCUACUUUAUCCUCAACCCAGAUUCACAGUUGGGGGUAAAAGUCCGAUUGACUGGGGAGAGAAGACAUUCAGAAGAUUCCAAAUACCAUUCGAGUCGUGGAUGGAAUAUGAUAUUCAUGCCAUUUUAAACCAAACCAAGGUUGUUAAAUUUACGAAAGCAAUAAAGGCCGCCAAAGCUGCAGCUAAUGGUCAACCCAUACUGUCAGACGCUUUUAUUUCAGACAGUGAUCGUAUUUUGGGCAGAGGAUUAAGGAAGGCAGCUCAAAAGCGUCCAUUGGAAGAGAAGGUUUCCGGAAAAGGGAAGGAAUGAAGAACGAAUAAUAAUUCUCUAAUAGAGACACCAUCGUCCAGCUCCAACCUCAAUCCAGCUGUUGCCAUCAGGACUCAAAGCUUAAGAUCUUGUCAGUCGAACACCCCGUUUGAUUUCGAAAAUUUCCCAACGAACUUAAAUGUUGGAGCUUGUGUGGGCAACAUCACCACCAACUCUGAGUUGGUUUCAUUGAACAACUCAUCCAUGCCAGUUUCGAAUGCAGCUGUACCGGCGCCCCAUGGUAGCAGUGGUGACGGCAGCAAUAUUCUUCGUCCGUCCGUUAUUCCUAGUCCACAACCGCAUGAUGUUGGCACAAGAACUGAAGCAGCAUUAUGUGGAGCUAUUAACAAAGCAAGUGGAAUAGUCAACAAUGGAGCACCUUUACCGUCUACAAGCCACGUACAAGAUGAAGAAGAGCAGAAUCGGAAUAAUAUUGAUAUUCAGGGUUCCAACGCUUUGCCGUCCAUUUCACAAACACAAACUCGUGGACAUGGGGCAUAUUUGAAUGGCACUCAAAACAACGACGUUAUAACACGUUCAACGAAUAUUGGUGUUGGCCAUCAUGACAAAGAGUUGGAAAGUCCUCCAUCUUUUCCUACUUGUGAUGAGUUCACGAGGUUGGAUGCUGUUUACACACGUAGCUUGAACAGAAAUAAUGACACUCCAUUGUCAUGGGCAAACGGUGGCGAUCUCCUGCAAUUGAAUGGCUAUCAGUCAUCUCAGGCAUUUUCAUCAUUCGACGUUCAGACAUUGAUGAGAGCCAUUGAGCAAGUAGAAAAGAAGCUCGAUGGGCUUGGAAGUACAGUAAUCGAAAAGUUAGAUUCCGUUUCUAAAAGAAUGGAGGAGUCUUUCAAAAAUGAUUUGCCCUUAAAAGCUACCAAGCACGCCAACUACCAUAGAUGGAUCGUGGAGUCCAACUUCGGAAUUGUUUCUUGCGAUACAGUAGAAAAACUCAUUGCUACCAACACAGCUCUCUCGGACAAAACAAUUGCAAUAAGCAUGGUUUUCUUCAUAUCUGAGCGAUAUAAGGCGUCCAAAUCAAUAGGCGCUUUUGUAAACCAGGCGUAUCGUUUGUUUUUAUGUGACGAAACUAGUCAGAAAAUGCAGUGGCGUAGUGUUGGUCGGGUCAAUGACUUAAGGCCCGGACUCUCUGGUCUGAUGAAUAUGCUUUCAGUUAUAGGAGUUGCUCUCGACAUUUUUAAUCUUUCGCGGAACACUGCAAAUGUUGAUCAUCGGAGGCUAAUUGAAAUGAUUAAAAACUGCCGGAAAUACAAUGCCAAAAACUACAGGAAGAAGAAUAAUGUGCCAGGUGCCUUGGAGACGGAUGCGUCAGCAGAUGCUCCUCAGCUUCCAAAUGCAAAUGAUGACAGUGACGCGGUUAUUCUCUACAACUACAUGACUAUUCUAGAAAAAGAAGUUGUUAAUUUUAGACCUCCGCCUGCUUUUGCUCGAGCACCAGAUCUUUGUAAUUGAAGAUUCAACACCGUUUCAAACCUCUUGAAUUGACGUUUAUUCUUUGCCAAUGUCGUUCUAAAGUCAGAAAAUUGUCAUUUUAUAAUUUAUUGCCUUUCGCAGUUACUCGUACUUUGGUUUUAUUUAAGGUUGUUUCAUAUGCAAAGACAAAACGCAAUAAACGCUGAUGGUUUCUCAAUUC